UAUUCGUUUUUCACAUCAGAU
This is a non-coding RNA of Caenorhabditis elegans, 21 nucleotides long. Lineage: Eukaryota; Metazoa; Nematoda; Chromadorea; Rhabditida; Rhabditidae. The record is from Ensembl.